AAUAAGAUUAUUUUUCAGUUUUUUGAUACAAUGUUUUGACUCUUCAUCCUAUUUAAAAUUUUUUUACGAUUAAUAUUUUUAUUUUUACUAGAUAAUAAAACAUGAAUAGCACUUUAUACGUGACUAAUUUUUUUUAGUUUUUAUACAAAAUUUUCAAAUAAGACGAAUGGUCAAACGUUGGACACGGAAAAAC
This 193-nucleotide microRNA precursor is filed under the name Oryza brachyantha (malo sina). RNAcentral describes it as "MIR812 microRNA precursor family". It matches the Rfam family "MIR812 microRNA precursor family". Lineage: Eukaryota; Viridiplantae; Streptophyta; Magnoliopsida; Poales; Poaceae. The record is from Rfam by way of RNAcentral.